GGGCAGAAGCUUAGAUAUUCUUAGAACUCUUUAUAAAAAAUCAGCCAAAUCCGACACGGAUGUCGGAUUAGAUGCAAGCUGCCACGGAUGGCUGCUUUGCAUCGUUGGCGACCGAUUACAUCAAAUUGCCUAAGAGUUCUUAGAAUUUAUUAGCUUCGUAC
Molecule: non-coding RNA, 161 nt
Filed under: human gut metagenome
Source: RNAcentral